AAGGGAGACCUAAUUCGGGUAGGAGACGAAAAAAAAGUAGUCGCUACCAAGAAUCAAUCCCAAAAGGUCGGAGCGAGGCGAAAUUGGCUUUCAAACUAGGUUCUGGGUUCACACAAGACCUGAAUCAGGAACAAGGGCUAUUAGCUCAGGUGGUUAGAGCGCACCCCUGAUAAGGGUGAGGUCCCUGGUUCGAGUCCAGGAUGGCCCACCUGUACAGGUGGCCAAAACCAAGAAAAGAAGCGAGGAAUCAGCACCUGCUCUUACCUACAUAGUAAGAGAGAAUGCUGGCUCUGAGUACAGAGUCCAGAGGAACCUUGAAAACUGCAUAGAGCUAGGUGAAAAAGCCAAAAAAGAAGACCGCAA
This 363-nucleotide transfer RNA is filed under the name Microcystis aeruginosa. RNAcentral's name for it is "16S-23S ribosomal RNA intergenic spacer". The stretch from base 135 to 208 matches the Rfam family "tRNA". The record is from RNAcentral. Lineage: Bacteria; Bacillati; Cyanobacteriota; Cyanophyceae; Chroococcales; Microcystaceae. RNAcentral also lists the same sequence under 2 other names.